Molecule: long non-coding RNA, 2000 nt
Filed under: Salmo salar (Atlantic salmon)
Lineage: Eukaryota; Metazoa; Chordata; Actinopteri; Salmoniformes; Salmonidae
Description: lncRNA (ENSSSAG00000113989.1)
Source: RNAcentral
GUUUAAGUAUGCAGGAGAUAUCAGUCACAUUUAUAGCAUCAUCAAACCAGAAUUAUUCACUGAGUGGUUCAAGCCCUGAAUGCUGAUUGGCUGACAUCCUUGGUAUAUCAGACCGUAUUCCACGGGUAUGACGAAACAUGUAUUUUUGCUGCUCUAAUUACGUUGGUAACCAGUUUAUAAUAGCAAUAGGGCACCUUGGGGUUUGUGGUAUAUGGCCAAUAUGCUAAGGGCGGUAUCCAGGUGUUGAAUCGUGCGUAAGAACAGCCCUUAGCCGUGGUAUAUUGGCCAUAUACCACACCCCCUCGUGCCUUAUUGCUUAAAUAUACACUUCUGAGGUGACUACUAGCAUUUGGGAUAAAUGCACUAGCAGGCAGGUUGUUUUUAGUUUUAGAAUAGCCUGAGAAUUAAUAUUUCAUAGUAGAUACACUGUAAAUGAACUGUAUUAUAUUUAAAAAAAAAAAAAACUUUGUAAAGAGAUGUUCUAUAUUUUGUAAUGAUGUACCAUUUCAAAAGAAGGUCAGCAAUACACGCCGUAAUGAAUCCUAUUAUGCUACCAGGAAAGAAGUUCGCUGGUUUUAUUAUUUUAUUAGGUACAAUAUUCUGACAUGAAUUGGCCUUUUUUCUUUGUUGUUGCUCAUAUGCAUCCUUGGCUUGUCUGCGAAACCGUUUGGUUCUUGGCGUAACAACACAGCUGCACAAGAUAUGCAAAUGUGUUUUUUUUUACUUGUUUUAUGAGCGAGCAUAAAAGAACACUUUAUGCGUUACUCGAACCACGCCGGUACCAGUACCACAACGUUAAGUCCCCCCCCCUUACUAAGAGCAUCUUUGUUGGACUUGAAGUUAGCUAGGCUUCAAGGAGGCUCCUCCACCUUAAUAAAGAUGUGACGAUAAACAUUUGUUUGCAUAUGUUGUGCAGGUGCACAGCACAGGAAGGACGCUGCUUCACCCAUUUUGAAAUUCAUUCUACAACUUCAUUCACUUCAUCUAUCCCAACUGAAAUGCCUUCUGCUGCUGAAAGAAAACGAUACGAUCGUAAGAAGAUAGACCGGAUUGGCAUGGUGGCUGACUGGUGAGGCACGUAUUCAUCAGGGAUGUUCACAGGACAGAUGAGACCAUAAUGAGGCAUCAUGGUCUAGGUGGUUCCACAGUCUCUGCCAUUGUUCUCUUUUUCUGUUGUGUUGUCGUGUCUUAUUGGGUCUGAUGUGUUUAAGCCGGAGAGAGGCUAAGCAAUACUAAACCCCGCUCUCUCGGCGUCUCUCUCUCCGGCUUCUCUCUGCGUACACUAUACCUCGUGGUGGUCCAGCACCGUCUGGGGAAAACAUAUCAGCCUCCCUCUCAACCAACCAGUCUCUUUCCCACAGCGAGCUUCUCCUUCCAAUGAGAAGCGAGCGUUUGUACCACGGCUCGUUUUUUACGAGAAAACGUUACUCUUGUUGCUCUUGACGAAAGUUGAACAUUGAUGGACCACAAAAUGACUUUACACAAACAGACUAAAUCUAGACGACAAAGGAUCAAGCUUUUUUUCCAGGCGCUGCCCUGGAGAUUUUGAAUAAGCACAGAUGAAGGGUAGGUGAUGAGACGUGGGAUCUGUAGUUCGUGAGUGUUUGAUUUGUAGUUGGUGAGUUGGCAAUGCGUGCGCAGUCAACCGAAUACUGUCGUGAAAAUGUAGGUUUUCCACUUUGUGUGCACAUUGAAAGGGCUCUUUUGAAUCGUUUGUGAGUUUAAAAAAAGGUGUUCUGGUCUUUUUGUUGAUAACUAUCUUGUGAAAGGACCAAUGCGAAUUCCAGGCACAUUGUACUAUUCGUAGCAAUUACUGAUAAACUGAAAAUAUGCAUUGUUUUUGUAAACACUUGUGUUAAGCAAAAGAUAAAACCGACUUACUUUUACCUCAUGUCAGGGAUUCCUGAACAAAGAAUAGAGAAAAUGAUUUGGUUCUAUACCAAUGGUAUUUAAAUAUUAGCACAUAGCUGUUUGUCUUUGCACAAGUAACUGUAUAGUAC